This 480-nucleotide ribosomal RNA is filed under the name uncultured bacterium. RNAcentral describes it as "partial 16S ribosomal RNA". It matches the Rfam family "Bacterial small subunit ribosomal RNA", at positions 28 to 507 of the family's 1533-position model. The record is from RNAcentral.
GACGAACGCUGGCGGCGUGCUUAACACAUGCAAGUCGAGCGAUGAAGAAAAGAAUCGAAGCUUCGGCAGAAAUUCAUUUCGGAUUAGUGGCAGACGGGUGAGUAACGCGUGAGCAACCUACCUCUUACAAAGGGAUAGCCUCGGGAAACCGGGAUUAAUACCAUAUAACAUUGCGACGAAGCAUUUCGAUGCAAUCAAAGCUACGGCGGUAAGAGAUGGGCUCGCGUCCCAUUAACCGGAUGGUGAGGUAACGGCUCACCAUAGUGACGAUGGGUAACCGGCCUGAGAGGGUGAACGGUCACACUGGAACUGAGACACGGUCCAGACUCCUACGGGAGGCAGCAGUGGGGAAUAUUGCACAAUGGAGGGAACUCUGAUGCAGCGACGCCGCGUGAGUGAUGAAGGAAUUCGUUUCGUAAAACUCUGUUCUAUGGGAAGAAAAGGACUGUACCAUAGGAGAAAGCUCCGGCUAAAUACGUG